UUAGAGUUUGAUCCUGGCUCAAAACGAACGCUGGCGGCAGGCUUAACACAUGCAAGUCGAGCGCAUGUCUUCGGACAUGAGCGGCAGACGGGUGAGUAACGCGUGGGAACGUACCCUUCAGUUCGGAAUAACCCAGGGAAACUUGGGCUAAUACCGGAUACGUCCGUAAGGAGAAAGAUUUAUUGCUGAAGGAUCGGCCCGCGUCGGAUUAGCUAGUUGGUGGGGUAAUUGCCCACCAAGGCAACGAUCCGUAGCUGGUCUGAGAGGAUGAUCACCCACACUGGGACUGAGACACGGCCCACACUCCUACGGGAGGCAGCAGUGGGGAAUAUUGGACAAUGGGCGCAAGCCUGAUCCAGCCAUGCCGCGUGGGUGAAGAACGCCCUAGGGUUGUAAAGCUCUUUCAGCGGGGACGAUAAUGACGGUACCCGCAAAAGAAGCCCCGGCUAACUUCGUGCCAGCAGCCGCGGUAAUACGAAGGGGGGCUAGCGUUGUUCGGAAUUACUGGGCGUAAAGCGCGCGUGGCGGAUAUUUAAGUCAGGGGGUGAAAUCCCAGGGCUCAACCCUGGAACUGCUUU
RNAcentral lists this ribosomal RNA (578 nucleotides) under uncultured bacterium. RNAcentral describes it as "bacterial SSU rRNA". It matches the Rfam family "Bacterial small subunit ribosomal RNA", at positions 1 to 627 of the family's 1533-position model. The record is from RNAcentral.